GUGCUCACUUUGAUAACACAUAUACUAAAAGUGGAAUGAUACAGAGAAGAUUAGCAUGAAUUAUCUCUUUGCAGGAAUGACACCCAAAUUUGUGAAGCAUUCCAUAAAAAA
Molecule: small nuclear RNA, 111 nt
Organism: Talpa occidentalis (Iberian mole)
Lineage: Eukaryota; Metazoa; Chordata; Mammalia; Eulipotyphla; Talpidae
Source: RefSeq, a predicted model, not a curated record